Molecule: ribosomal RNA, 432 nt
Filed under: uncultured bacterium
Lineage: Bacteria
Description: partial 16S ribosomal RNA
Rfam family: Bacterial small subunit ribosomal RNA
Source: RNAcentral
AGCGAACGCUGGCGGCAGGCCUAACACAUGCAAGUCGAACGAACUCUUCGGAGUUAGUGGCGGACGGGUGAGUAACACGUGGGAACGUGCCUUUAGGUUCGGAAUAACUCAGGGAAACUUGUGCUAAUACCGAAUGUGCCCUUCGGGGGAAAGAUUUAUCGCCUUUAGAGCGGCCCGCGUCUGAUUAGCUAGUUGGUGAGGUAAAGGCUCACCAAGGCGACGAUCAGUAGCUGGUCUGAGAGGAUGAUCAGCCACAUUGGGACUGAGACACGGCCCAAACUCCUACUGGAGGCAGCAGUGGGGAAUCUUGCGCAAUGGCGAAAGCCUGACGCAGCCAUGCCGCGUGAAUGAUGAAGGUCUUAGGAUUGUAAAAUUCUUUCACCGGGGACGAUAAUGACGGUACCCGGAGAAGAAGCCCCGGCUAACUUCGUG